Non-coding RNA from Felis catus (domestic cat), 46 nucleotides. The record is from Rfam. NCBI's taxonomy places the organism in Eukaryota, Metazoa, Chordata, Mammalia, Carnivora, Felidae.
GCACAGGUUCCACUAGGAACUACACACAUAAUUUGGGAACAUUUGG